RNAcentral lists this ribosomal RNA (433 nucleotides) under uncultured bacterium. RNAcentral's name for it is "partial 16S ribosomal RNA". It matches the Rfam family "Bacterial small subunit ribosomal RNA", at positions 29 to 507 of the family's 1533-position model. The record is from RNAcentral.
AGCGAACGCUGGCGGCAGGCCUAAUACAUGCAAGUCGAACGAACUCUUCGGAGUUAGUGGCGGACGGGUGAGUAACACGUGGGAACGUGCCUUUAGGUUCGGAAUAACUCAGGGAAACUUGUGCUAAUACCGAAUGUGCCCUUCGGGGGAAAGAUUUAUCGCCUUUAGAGCGGCCCGCGUCUGAUUAGCUAGUUGGUGAGGUAAAGGCUCACCAAGGCGACGAUCAGUAGCUGGUCUGAGAGGAUGAUCAGCCACAUUGGGACUGAGACACGGCCCAAACUCCUACGGGAGGCAGCAGUGGGGAAUCUUGCGCAAUGGGUGAAAGCCUGACGCAGCCAUGCCGCGUGAAUGAUGAAGGUCUUAGGAUUGUAAAAUUCUUUCACCGGGGACGAUAAUGACGGUACCCGGAGAAGAAGCCCCGGCUAACUUCGUG